Molecule: ribosomal RNA, 210 nt
Filed under: uncultured bacterium
Lineage: Bacteria
Description: partial 16S ribosomal RNA
Rfam family: Bacterial small subunit ribosomal RNA
Source: RNAcentral
UACGGGGGGUGCGAGCGUUAAUCGGAAUAACUGGGCGUAAAGCGCACGUAGGCGGACAUGUAAGUGAGGGGUGAAAUCCCCGGGCUGAACCUGGGAAUUGCUUUUCAUACUGCGAGACUAGAGUGCAUUAGAGAUGAGUAGAAUUCCACGUGUAGCGGUGAAAUGCGUAGAGAUGGGAAGGAACAUCGGUGGCGAAGGCAACCCCUUGGG